Molecule: ribosomal RNA, 1071 nt
Filed under: Klebsiella pneumoniae
Lineage: Bacteria; Pseudomonadati; Pseudomonadota; Gammaproteobacteria; Enterobacterales; Enterobacteriaceae
Also listed under: 6 other names
Description: bacterial LSU rRNA
Rfam family: Bacterial large subunit ribosomal RNA
Source: RNAcentral
CACUAUCGUUAACUGAAUACAUAGGUUAACGAGGCGAACCGGGGGAACUGAAACAUCUAAGUACCCCGAGGAAAAGAAAUCAACCGAGAUUCCCCCAGUAGCGGCGAGCGAACGGGGAGCAGCCCAGAGUCUGAAUCAGCUUGUGUGUUAGUGGAACGGUCUGGAAAGUCCGACGGUACAGGGUGAUAGUCCCGUACACCAAAAUGCACAGGUUGUGAACUCGAAGAGUAGGGCGGGACACGUGGUAUCCUGUCUGAAUAUGGGGGGACCAUCCUCCAAGGCUAAAUACUCCUGACUGACCGAUAGUGAACCAGUACCGUGAGGGAAAGGCGAAAAGAACCCCGGCGAGGGGAGUGAAAAAGAACCUGAAACCGUGUACGUACAAGCAGUGGGAGCACCUUCGGGUGUGACUGCGUACCUUUUGUAUAAUGGGUCAGCGACUUAUAUUCUGUAGCAAGGUUAACCGUAUAGGGGAGCCGCAGGGAAACCGAGUCUUAACUGGGCGUUAAGUUGCAGGGUAUAGACCCGAAACCCGGUGAUCUAGCCAUGGGCAGGUUGAAGGUUGGGUAACACUAACUGGAGGACCGAACCGACUAAUGUUGAAAAAUUAGCGGAUGACUUGUGGCUGGGGGUGAAAGGCCAAUCAAACCGGGAGAUAGCUGGUUCUCCCCGAAAGCUAUUUAGGUAGCGCCUCGUGAACUCAUCUUCGGGGGUAGAGCACUGUUUCGGCUAGGGGGUCAUCCCGACUUACCAACCCGAUGCAAACUACGAAUACCGAAGAAUGUUAUCACGGGAGACACACGGCGGGUGCUAACGUCCGUCGUGAAGAGGGAAACAACCCAGACCGCCAGCUAAGGUCCCAAAGUCAUGGUUAAGUGGGAAACGAUGUGGGAAGGCACAGACAGCCAGGAUGUUGGCUUAGAAGCAGCCAUCAUUUAAAGAAAGCGUAAUAGCUCACUGGUCGAGUCGGCCUGCGCGGAAGAUGUAACGGGGCUAAACCAUGCACCGAAGCUGCGGCAGCGACACUAUGUGUUGUUGGGUAGGGGAGCGUUCUGUAAGCCUGCGAAGGUG